RNAcentral lists this ribosomal RNA (347 nucleotides) under uncultured bacterium. Its description in RNAcentral is "partial 16S ribosomal RNA". It matches the Rfam family "Bacterial small subunit ribosomal RNA", at positions 338 to 682 of the family's 1533-position model. The record is from RNAcentral.
CCUACGGGUGGCAGCAGUGAGGAAUAUUGGUCAAUGGGCGCGAGCCUGAACCAGCCAAGUAGCGUGAAGGAUGACUGCCCUACGGGUUGUAAACUUCUUUUAUAAAGGAAGAAAGUGAGGCACGUGGGCCUUUUUGUAUGUACUUUAUGAAUAAGGAGCGGCUAACUCCGUGCCAGCAGCCGCGGUAAUACGGAGGAUCCGAGCGUUAUCCGGAGGUAGUGGGUUUAAAGGGAGCGUAGAUGGGUUGUUAAGUCAGUUGUGAAAGUUUUCGGCUCAACCGUAAAAUUGCAAUUGAUACUGGCAGUCUUUAGUACAGUUGAGGUCGGCGGACUUCGUGGUGUAGCGGU